GUGGGGAAUUUUGGACAAUGGGCGCAAGCCUGAUCCAGCAAUGCCGCGUGUGUGAAGAAGGCCUUCGGGUUGUAAAGCACUUUUGGCAGGAAAGAAAUAGUGCGUGCUAAUACCCUGGGCUAAUGACGGUACCGUAAGAAUAAGCACCGGCUAACUACGUGCCAGCAGCCGCGGUAAUACGUAGGGUGCAAGCGUUAAUCGGAAUUACUGGGCGUAAAGCGUGCGCAGGCGGUUUUGUAAGACAGGCGUGAAAUCCCCGGGCUCAACCUGGGAAUUGCGCUUGUGACUGCAAGGCUGGAGUGCGGCAGAGGGGGAUGGAAUUCCGCGUGUAGCAGUGAAAUGCGUAGAUAUGCGGAGGAACACCGAUGGCGAAGGCAAUCCCCUGGGCCUGCACUGACGCUCAUGCACGAAAGCGUGGGGAGCAAACAGGAUUAGAUACCCGGGUAGUCC
RNAcentral lists this ribosomal RNA (450 nucleotides) under uncultured bacterium. RNAcentral describes it as "partial 16S ribosomal RNA". It matches the Rfam family "Bacterial small subunit ribosomal RNA", at positions 354 to 796 of the family's 1533-position model. The record is from RNAcentral.